RNAcentral lists this ribosomal RNA (411 nucleotides) under Triticum aestivum (bread wheat). RNAcentral's name for it is "partial small subunit ribosomal RNA". The record is from RNAcentral. Lineage: Eukaryota; Viridiplantae; Streptophyta; Magnoliopsida; Poales; Poaceae.
AUGGCUCAGAUCGACCACGGGGCAGCCAUCCGCCGCAUCCCUAGCGACCUACAAGAUCCCCUCGACCCCCUGGCGAACCCUAGAUCGCCACUCCUCCCCUCCUUCGCUCGCCCCCUUUGUUUUCUUUGUCAGCCAACACUGCCGCCGAUGCACGGCUGUCGAUCCCGCGACCACCAUGUUCCCCGGGCCUCGCAAGGGAGUCUGAUAACUGCGCCACCAUCGCCUACGUCGUCUAUGAGGAGCGAUUUGAGCUGUAGCGAUCUACUUCAUCCCCAUCGUCUCGGUCUUCUUCUUCGGCGACCACACGACGUCGCCGUUGAUUCGCAGCGCCUCGACCCCCUCCGGCUACCCCGAGCCACUCCUCUGCAUCCACAACGUUGGAGUCCAGGAGCCAGACGCCACCGUCGAUGA